RNAcentral lists this long non-coding RNA (1158 nucleotides) under Lepidothrix coronata (blue-crowned manakin). RNAcentral's name for it is "lncRNA (ENSLCOG00000008479.1)". The record is from RNAcentral. Lineage: Eukaryota; Metazoa; Chordata; Aves; Passeriformes; Pipridae.
AGGAAGAAAAGCACAGUCCGUUCUUUCAGACUUUUUGGAAAUGGGUCAGAGGGAUUUGAGGAGAUGGUCUUGUCCCCCCUGCUAAUCAACCUUUGGGCGAUAGCGCAUGGCCGCUUCUGUGCUGGUGCUUUUGUUUGUUGUGUCUCUGUGGACUAGACCAAGGAUGUUUGUCCCAGAAAAGUGCUGCUGCUGUACCCCUGCAUGGUGCCUUCUCCAGCCAGAGCUUGUUCUUUCUCAAGGCAUGUUAUUACCAACAGCCCUUGGUUGGCUCCACAGCCACCUGUCUAUCAGUGUUAGCCCCAUUAGCCCCAUAUCCUCCUGGAUCCUACACCCUGGCGGGAGGCAGGGCCCACGCACGGAACAGACCCAGCUGGGGCAGCUCCUGGGGGGAGCCCCAGUGUGACACAAAACGGUAUGUGUUGAAUGAAUGCUCAGUUUCUCGGCAGUCCUGCCUGGCAUGGCUGGACUGCCGAGAGCAAAGGGACGAGGGAAAGGGAGGUAAUCCAAGGAGAGACAUGCUGCGGGCUGCUGUGGGUGUGCAGAGGGCAGGGAAGGCUGCGGGAGGACAGAGAGUAAAGGGAACCCGCAGAACGAAACACUGUUUUUCAGAGAGUAUCUCCUGCAGCAUUACGUUGUUCCUUAGGAACAGCUGGAAUGGUUCCUUCUGUCACCAUCCAGCACCUGCUGUCCAGUGCAAACCUUGGGAAGAAGGAUUUUGCAGGGCGACCCUCGCCGAUUUCUGCCGACAAGUCAACGGGGCACUUCAACCCCCGGCCUUUGCGUGGCACAAAGCGCCUGUGCGGCGCUGCAGUGGUUUGAAGCCACUGGAACACCGGGAGCACGGACGGGCCAGUGGCUGAGGUACCAGGGCGGGCCGGCUUAGGGCUUGCUGCUCCCCGAAGCAAACAAAAAUCGAGUCACUUCAAGUCAGACCCGCGAGCAUGAAAUACACUUCAUUUUUCAUAUUUUUUAAUAUUUUUAAAUGUCUUGUACAUAUUUUUGUAGCUCUAUGCAUUGGCAUUAAUAUCACGCAUUUCCGCCCUCACGCCCUCCCCCGCGCCGCUGCAGCCGCCCAAGAACGCCCACAAAGCACGUCUGCGAAGCGAUUCUAAGCUCCCGGUAUCCCUCGGUUUAUCCAGCUCCGUGUCCAACCUCCGG